CAACGAGCUCAGACAGCUAUUUAGCGAUCUUGUAGUUCACUUCACGUGCUUCACUUGAAGGCCAUGUUAAGUUUACUUUGUAAAAUUUGAAUUAAAUGUAUCAAAAGGCACAAUUUUAGUGUGUAAAGUUAUUACAAUAAACUGUAUUUAAGUGGAUUGUGUGUUGUGGAUGGAGUAUUUAGGUAAUCAAAGAAGCAUACGAAAGUCAUGCAGAGCUCAUUUUUUCACGUUUACGUAGUCAUACGCCUAAUGCAAAGAAAACAAAAAUUACAACUUAAUUUAAAAAUUUGUCUCCUCUGCAUCACUCUAGAGCUAUUUUGGAGAGUAUCACCUCAACCCAAACUGCAUUUGCUGUUCUAUGUUGUUUUCAUACAAAUCAAAGUGCAAAUAAACACAGAAGAUGUAUCUGCCUGUUGCUAUUGACACAGAUUUUUCAAACGUUAAUCACUGUUAAUCGUACUAAUUACAUUGCUGUCAGAAUGCAUGAACAAUAUCUUAGUUUGCGUUCCGAAGACGAACGGUUUGAUAUGACAUGGGGGUAAGUGAUUAAAGACAAUUUCAGUUUGGGGUGGAGUAACUUGUGUAGUCCUAAUUCUUCAGUGAUUCUUGCUGUUCAGAUUAUUUAUUUAUUUAUUAUUUUUUUAAAGAUCUGUGCCGAGUUUUACAGAAUUACACAAACCAACCUGAAGAGUACCUUUUUCUCUUCUUUGGAUGAAUACGCGUCAAAGAUGAUCAUGUUGUACCGAUCACGUGGUGGAGCCUAUGGAGAUGAAAUGAAGACCUUCCUAGACCAACUUGAUCAAGCUUCUGAUGUGCUUGCUCAGAGAAAGGCUACAGCUCUCAAAGGUCUACCUUUGUUUAUGAGGGAAAAGUCUGGAAACUUCCUGAAGACUUGCCUGGUAAGUGUUAUCAGUCUGUUAUCAGCAUAUACACUCAUCUGAGGCUGCUUUUUACUUCAGGACACAGACCCAGAAGACACUCACACAAAAGGGAUGAAGAUGGGGGUCUUAACUGUCUUUGAAGAUGACAUUCCCACCAUUCAUUCAAACCCAAAUGCCUGUCUGUAGUUCUGGAGGAGCAAGUUGUGCUGGAUAAUGUGCAAGACCUCCCUACAGCUGUUGCUCUCCUAUUUGGCUUGAUUUAUGCCCUCAACAUUAGUUAUCCUGAACAACUAAAAUACAUGUUUGAAACAAUUCAGAAAGUGUUUAUUGGCCUUGACCCCCAGUGGUCUGCGAGAAUCCAGUCCUACAAAAACAAAUUGUUAAAGUUUAAGUAGUUGCAGUUCAUAUUGCUAAUCAAAAGUGCAAGCACUGAUUUAUUCCUGUUUGUUCAAUAGCUGUAUUUGUAAUACAUGUAUAUGUAUGCCAAGACAGUUUUGAGUCUUAAGGUAAGGUUUUAUGACUUAAGUAUUGUUUUAACAGUUGUAAAUAACUGAUUGCUCUAGCACAUGUCUUGUUUAUUGCUGCAGCAUUUAAGAUUAUUUUGGCACUUUGAGAACAAUUUUGUUACUUCAGCACUUUAAUAGCGUUUGUGUUUUGUUUUACUGCAGCGCUUUAAAGGCAUUUGAAGAU
Long non-coding RNA from Paramormyrops kingsleyae, 1571 nucleotides. RefSeq lists it as uncharacterized. The record is from RefSeq and is a predicted model, not a curated record. Lineage: Eukaryota; Metazoa; Chordata; Actinopteri; Osteoglossiformes; Mormyridae.